RNAcentral lists this ribosomal RNA (305 nucleotides) under uncultured bacterium. Its description in RNAcentral is "partial 16S ribosomal RNA". It matches the Rfam family "Bacterial small subunit ribosomal RNA", at positions 508 to 807 of the family's 1533-position model. The record is from RNAcentral.
ACAGCAGUAGCCGCGGGAAUACGAACCGUCCGAACGUUAUCCGGAAUGAUUGGGCGUAAAGCGUCUGUAGGUGGCUUUUCAAGUCAGUCGUCAAAUCCCUGGGCUCAACCCUGGACAAGCAGUGGAAACUACCAAGCUGGAGUAUAGUAGGGGCAGAGUGAAUUUCCGGUGGAGCGAUGAAAUGCGUUGAGAUCAGAAAGAACACCAACGGCGAAAGCACUCUGCUGGGCCGACACUGACACUGAGAGACGUAAGCUAGGGGAGCAAAUGGGAUUAGAUACCCCAGUAGUCCCUGUCUCUUAUAC